This 216-nucleotide long non-coding RNA is filed under the name Elaeis guineensis (African oil palm). Its description in RNAcentral is "long non-coding RNA (EGUI_LNC004323)". The record is from RNAcentral. Lineage: Eukaryota; Viridiplantae; Streptophyta; Magnoliopsida; Arecales; Arecaceae.
AAAUCCUUCACCCUGGUGCUUAUUGAUUAGAAACUCUCAAUGAAACUAUUGUCCUUUGAAUGUGGAAUGCGGACAAUCGAAGAAUGUACUAUCAAUGAAGUUAUCCACAUGUACAAUAUAUUUGAAAUGAUAUGAUUGAUUUUCAAUAAAUUCUCGACUGGAUAUAUGAUAUUUGACCAACGACUAAUCAACCAAUAUACAUACCGAUCCAAUCCC